AUCACUUGUCCCCUAAAUAGAGACUUAGUAUGAACGGUUUAUAUGAGGACAAACCUGUCUCUUAUGGGCAAUCAGUUAAACUGAACCCCCAAUACAAAUGUUGGGAUACUCCUAUAAGACGAGAAGACCCUGUGGAGCUUCUAAACAAACUAUAAAAACUAUUAUAGCAAGUUUUUAGUUGGGGCGACUUCGGAAAAAAAUUAAACUUCCAAGCAUAGGACUAACCUCCUUAACUGGUCAACAAACCUAAUAACACUGACCCGGCCCAGUACCGAAAAACGAACCAAGUUACCCCAGGGAUAACAGCGCUAUCUUCUUUUAGAGUCCAUAUCAACAAGUUAAGGCUUACGACCUCGAUGUUGGAUCAGGACACCCAAAUGGUGCAGCCGCUAUUAACGGUUCGUUUGUUCAACGAUUGAUAGUCCU
This 426-nucleotide ribosomal RNA is filed under the name Zonosaurus rufipes. Its description in RNAcentral is "16S ribosomal RNA". It matches the Rfam family "Bacterial large subunit ribosomal RNA", at positions 1964 to 2597 of the family's 2925-position model. The record is from RNAcentral. Lineage: Eukaryota; Metazoa; Chordata; Lepidosauria; Squamata; Gerrhosauridae.